CUUUUUUACACAUUUGGCGUAUUGGUUUUUUUACGUGCUCUUCUCUUCUAAGUCUUUUGUCAUUUUUUGAGAUUGUUUGAACGAUCGAGUGUAUCAAUUAUUUCUUCUUUAUUCGAAUAAAAAAGUGUGUGUUGUGAAAACGAAAAAAUAUUUUGCGAAGAGAUUUCCACUAGAUUGGUUGAACUUUAAGCUUAAUGUUGUGAGCAACUUGAAGUGUUAAUCUGUUGGCGAGACAAUGCAUCAGCAACGUUGUCGCUUAUGCCGUGAUGCCCUGGCUUAUAUACUAAUUUAGCGCCGUAUUUUGCUAUGAAAUUUUACCAUCGUUUUAGUUUAGUGUUCGCAUUUUUAUAGAAAAUCGAAAAGAAGAUCAAAAUGAAUUUAAUGAAAAAAUCCGUUUAUACUAAAUGAGUUAAAAGAGAAUUGAGUGAAAGUAAACACAAUACUUGAUUGUAACGCAAUCUUAAAAGCUGGGAUCAGCUACACAUACAAAAUGUUUGGAAAUUUUAGAUGUACCCACUGCUGAUGUUGAACUACCCAAUGUCGACACUCAUGGCGAGUUCAUCAAUGUCAUUACUGGCGUACACACCGGUUCAGAUGACAUUGGUUCUGGUGAUCCUAUAGGACGCGAUGUUUAUGGACCGUCAAGGGACACAUCGGCAUCUACAGACAAGGUGCUACUAAGUAUUGUAUUCUUCUGGUUUUCGAUUUAUUUACUUUUCCGUUGUUUCGUUUUUUGAGGGAAUAACAGUCAAUCUUCUAGGAACUACUAGCAGUUAAGAUAUAAAGUUAAUUCGUCUGAUGUAACUUUUCCAGGACGCGAUGAUUAUGGAGCGUCACGGGAAACAUCGACAUUCACAGACAAGGUGCUACUAAGUAUUGGAGUUUCAUAGUACACUCAUUACAUAUAACUGCUAUCCUCAUAAUAAUUGAUGAAGUGUCAUAAGACACUUCUGCAUUCACUACACAUUUUAUACACAAGACGUCUUUUAAUUUUGCUGGGAAUUCGUUCUGGAUCAUUGAGCGCGUUUAAUUGUUCUGCCAACUUCUACCAUAGCGCCGGAUGAGUCGGGUAGUUUACACUAAACGGUUGGACUUAGAACAGCAUUCUAACUGGGUUGAGUCGCUGUCCGUGAAGGAUAUAACAAAUGUAUAGUUAUUGUAUCUUGUAUAGUUACUAGCGUAAGUUAUUAGAUCGAAUCCUACAUUAAAGUUUGGAUGGUGUAAUUCGACUUGUUCAUUUAGGCUUUAUUUUAAUAUUUUUAUUGCUUUGAUAGCUUCAUAAUCUCAUUUUAUUUUAGAUUUUAUUUUUUGAUAAGUGUCCUUUGUGUCUUGUUAAGUAACUUUUUAGCGGUUUGCACAUAUGAGCAUUUUCUUUUACAAAUUUACUGUAAUACGACGGGGCUGCUGCUCCAGUUGGUGUCUCUUCAGGUAGCAGAAUGGGGGAAACAGGCGCAAACCCUCCGGCAAGAGAAGUAGCGAAGGGUGAAUCUUUCAUACGCGGCGGAAUCGCCAGCAUUAGCAGAGGAACCUCUGCUAGAGUUAUGAAAGGGCCCACGGGGGUAGAAGCAAAGCAGCUUUAGCGAGAAAGCUAAAGUCAGACUUGGCGAUUGGCGGCCAAGAUCGUGGAACGCUACGGUGACAAGCAUGUUGGUCAGGUAUCUCGUCGGUCUUCCUGUGGGUGGUCAAGGCAAAUCCUGGGGCACCCCCAAAAUGUGUGAGUGCCGGUUGGCACCAGGGGCUGCAUUAGCUCACAAGUUGUGCUGAAGAGAGAUCGGCCGUCUUAUAUAAGUAGGCAGUAUCUCCGGUGGGGGAGGUUUGGAAGGGAGCCAGACUGGAGGCCGUGGCCAAAGCGGAUCUUCCUCUUCGUCCUAGAGCUCGCGUUUGGCUGUCGGCCUAACCUUCCCUUGCGAAUGAGAUUGAGGAAAUCCUCAGACAUUGAGGAAAUCCUCAGAUAUUGUAAUCCCUCAGUUCCAACGCAAGACUGGAGAGUGUUAAGGCUAGAGAGAACCGAUGAACCAUAUCGGCAAGCGCUGAUAAUGCUAAACGCGGAAUCCAUCGGUCGUCUCAGCAAAACAAAGGGAGCCAUAAGCUAUGGUUUUGAAAUGGUGGUGCUGAAAGUACUUCCAUCAGACGCCAGAGAUGUUGGCACCCAAGCUGCGGCUGCGGUGGAUGUGACAAACGGCGCUGACGCUCAAACGACCUUGGAAAUCGACCCGAAUCUCUCGGACGUGGCGAGUACUGGGGGCGGUUCGUCGAUCGGCGACUCCGUAUUCAGCCUCGAACAACUGUUUGAGGUGGUGCGGGUCGAUCACGACUUGGGCGCUGAACUAGCGCUCCUGGAGGAAAGUCUGAAGAAUGAAAUUCCUCGAGAUUAACCUCCAGAAUGCGAAGGCGGCCUCCGCCAAUCUUUUGCUCCGUCUGGAACAAGACGGAGCUGAUGUCGUCCUGAUCCAGGAACCGUGGCUGACUGGCAACGGGAUAUGUGGAUUGAGGACAAAGAGCCAUAGGCUCCUGACGGCCAAGGAUGCAGCAACGCUGACGUAGUGACAGCGAAACGAGUGUGACACCGGAGAUUUCUUACUUAUCUCCGCGUACAUGCCUCACGAUGUGGUGGAGCCACCUCCCAUACCGCUGAGGAGGACUUUAGCCGAAGCGUCUAAGACUGGCACCGGCUUCAUCAUCGGUUCCGGCGCUAACCCGCGACACCACAUCUGGGGUAGCUCGGAUACCAAUAAUAGAGCUACUCAUUCGACCGGAAUCAGGCCAGCAGUUGAGACACCUUUUUUCGGCACUUCCGCAGACAGCAGAUAACUCCGUUAUUUUUCAAUAUUUUUGUAACUAAAAAUUUU
Molecule: long non-coding RNA, 2849 nt
Organism: Bactrocera tryoni
Lineage: Eukaryota; Metazoa; Arthropoda; Insecta; Diptera; Tephritidae
Exons: 7
Source: RefSeq, a predicted model, not a curated record